CCACUCUUGCUGUGCAAACUCAAUUUCCUGUAUCCUACUCUAUGUAUUUUCGAAGCAGUCAUCGCCAUAUGGUAUACUCUCUCUAGAUUAUUUUCUUGGGCAUUUGCCUAUUGUCACCUUUUCUUCUCACUAGCAUGUGGCUCCAUGAGGGCAAAUACUUAAUCUGUUAUGUUCACUGGGGCAUCUCCAGAACUUGCCUGAAACCCAGUAGGUGUUCAAUAAGUUCUGGAGGGAUGAAUGAAUGACUCCUCUCACUAUAAGGGAGUUUGGGAUAUGUAGUCUAUCUGGGCACAUUUCUAUCUGUUCUCUUUGCAGGGGAGAAAGGGAUGAGGAUGUUGGAUAAGCAGCUCAGCAUGUUCCCCAACAUGUAAGGGAAUCAGUUCGAGUUCUACACUCUCCUUCUUGGUACACAUCCUCAGAAUGCAGGAAGUGCCUCUGCUUGUUGUGAGUCUUUGUGGACAGAGGCAGGAUCAUGCUGGCUAGAAUCUAGUGGACAAGGGCAGCACAUUCCCCCUGUUCCCAGGUGGGUCCAGAGAUGUCGCCUGGGAGCCAGGGCCUGGAGUUCUAUGUUACUGUGGCUGAGCUUGCACCCAAGCUACAAGAUGACAUCCCACUCUUCCCUCACCUUUCUACAAGUAGAGGAGUCUCUUCUCAUGGCCACCAUUGUCCCAGGAUGUGAGGUCUGGAACAGCUGCAGCCAUUUUGCCACCAUGGGAAACCUGGGACAUCCGAACUGACUCCAUGAAGCCUGAAGAGAAAGCUAAUAAGAAGGCAGAGAGAAGAGGAAGAGAGUCUUGGUCUUUGGAAAUAUCUUUUGGAGCUGCUGGAUCAAGUAUCACUUGAAGGUGUCUCUUCUCACCUGGAAUCACAGCAUUGGGUGGACUGAAAAGAGGAAGAGGCUGCAAUGGAGCAGCACACCUAGUGUGUGGGGAUGCCUGGAAAACAAAAUUAGGAGAGCCCUGGGUCAGCAUUGCUCUGGCACUGGCUGGGCCGGGGGCCAUCCUGAUUCUAGAAUUAUCUUGGUUUCUGGGAUAGAAAUGUCCCCAGAGUGGAGAAGUUCAGUUCAAUCCAACAUCCUUAUAUUGCAAUGAGGAUAAAGACCACAGACCCUAUGGCCUGUAUGACCCAGCUGCCCAUUUCUAGGAACCCAUUCCUACAAAAAUGACAACAUGCGUGUGCAAACAGCAACAAUGACAAACAUACCCUGGGAUGCUUUCCCUGUGUGGUUUGUUAUAGUAAGAUGGCGGCUACAGCUUAUAAAUCAUCAACAGAGGACUGGCUAAAUGAUGGCACUUCAUUCUGCAGAAUCUUUUGUUGUAGUCAAAAAGAACAAGUUAGAUCUAUAUGUGUGAACUUGGAAAGGUGUACAUGACUUAAGUAGAAAAGUUAAGUUGCAGAACGA
Molecule: small RNA, 1402 nt
Filed under: Pan troglodytes (chimpanzee)
Lineage: Eukaryota; Metazoa; Chordata; Mammalia; Primates; Hominidae
Description: processed transcript
Source: RNAcentral